Molecule: long non-coding RNA, 861 nt
Organism: Oncorhynchus tshawytscha (Chinook salmon)
Lineage: Eukaryota; Metazoa; Chordata; Actinopteri; Salmoniformes; Salmonidae
Source: Ensembl
CUUCCGUAAGAGAAUGUUGUGACAGAUUCCCUGGAUGAACCUCCUGUAAGAGAAUGUUGUGACAGAUUCCCUGGAUGAACCUCCCGUAUGAGAAUGUUGUGACAGAUUCCCUGGAUGAACCUCCCGUAUGAGAAUGCUGAAUGCAUACUUCAUACAGUGUAUGGCAGUAGAUAAUUUCCAUAGCAAAUACCAUCCGCAUUUCAUAUGGAGAAUGACAUUUUGUAGCUUUUAUAUGUAAUUCAUCCUAAAUAGCAUCCUAAAUAGCACCCUAAAUAGCACCCUAAAUGGCAUCCUAAAUAGCACCCUAAAUAGCAUCCUGAAUAGCAUUCUAAAUGUCAUCCUAAAUAGCAUCCUAAAUGGCACACAACCUACAUCUAUCAUAGACCUUUGUAUCCAAUCAAUAUCCUCCUGGACAUUAACGUUGGCCUCAAUCCCUCAGUAGGGAAAUCUUUCUGUGGAAGGAUCAAUGAUCGCAGUCUUUCUGAUGAUAUAUUAAUAACCCUUGUGUUUCUAUUGAUCGUCGACUUGACAGACAGCAACAUUCCCUUAUGGGCAUGGAGGAGGGUUGUGAUGCCCUCUAUGAAGCCUGGUCACCAGGGAGGGUUGUGAUGCCCUCUAUGAAGCCUGGUCACCGGGGAGGGUUGUGAUGCCCUCUAUGAAGCCUGGUCACCAGGGAGGGUUGUGAUGCCCUCUAUGAAGCCUGGUCACCGGGGAGGGUUGUGAUGCCCUCUAUGAAGCCUGGUCACCAGGGAGGGUUGUGAUGCCCUCUAUGAAGCCUGGUCACCAGGGAGGGUUGUGAUGCCCUCUAUGAAGCCUGGGCACCAGGGAGGGUUGUGAUGCCCUCUAUAAAGCCUGGUCACC